UUAUUUUUAGUGGAUUGAAACUGUAGAGUAGGGAAACAACAUUAACGAAGGGUCUCUGUCUCUCUCUUUCUUCUCUUGUGAAAACUUUUUCUUCUUCUGUUGAGUUGCCAAAGGCGACAGAGAUGUGAUUUUGACUUUUCUUUGAUUUCGUCGGAGCUUUGGAGUUAUGAUCGGAGAAUUUUCAAGCGUAGGGCGCCGUUAUCAAUAUCUCCAUUGUCACUGGUGAAGAUCGAUUGAAUUGGUCUCAAAACGGCCGAUAUUCAAGCUCGAGAAUCUUUUUUUUUGUUCUCAAGAUCGGAGAAUUAGCUAGAAUGAAGCUCCAAAUUCGUUUUGAAGGUAUGAAUCUCGGUCAAGGCUUAGUAGAUGUUGAAAAUUAGGGGUUUUUAUAUGUAUGCAAAAUUAGGCUUAUUUCAAUCAAUAGGCAGUUUUUGUCUAUGUUCUUAGCUAUGUUUGAAGAUUAAUAUAGGCAUAGGUUGUUUGUUUUUGCUCAAAUUGAAACGAGGCUUGGGGUUUUAUGCGUACAGAUUGGUAGAUUGGAUUGUUUCGGAACUGGAAGAGUAGCACCUGUUUACAUGUUAAGAGAGAGCUGAAAGAUGUGGCUAGAAGACGCUUGGAGCUUCACAACUCAGUCUUUGCCUGAGACCAAUCUCUCACCAUUAAAAUAAUUGAAAAAAUAUAAAGAGAGAGGAAAGAGAGAUGAUCGGUUCUCUAAAUAGAACGUUGCCUACCCUCUAAAGAACCUCUCUCGCCACAUGUUUUAAUUUUAUUGGUUCAUCUCUAUUUACGUAUUAAAAUUCAAUUACAUAAUAAAACUAAAAUAAAAAAUAAUAUAUUUUAAUUGUUGAGAUACAUUUGGUGAGAUACCCACCGAUAGAUGAACUAAGGGC
Molecule: long non-coding RNA, 887 nt
Filed under: Capsella grandiflora
Lineage: Eukaryota; Viridiplantae; Streptophyta; Magnoliopsida; Brassicales; Brassicaceae
Description: long non-coding RNA (CGRA_LNC000118)
Source: RNAcentral